GCACUACUAGGCUCGCGCGCGCAUGACCUCACCUGCCGCCGCCGCCGCUCGCCCGCCGCCGCUUGCCCGCCGCCGCUCGCCUGCCGCUCGCCUGCCGCCGCCGCCGCCGCCGCGGCUGCUCGCCUGCCGCCGUGCCGCUCCCCUCGCUCGGCACACCAGGCCACCUUCUCCCCUCUUCUCUCCUCUCAUCUCCAGGCCACCCACCGCCUCCCUCUUCCUCUCCCUAUCCUCGGUGAGCUACAGAUCCGGUUCGGGGGUCAUCGGAAUCGAUGGUCUCGGCCAUUGGUCUCCUCGCCGGUGAAUCGUUUUGAUACCCUUCUGCAUACAUUUAGCACAAAAUCCACAUGGUUCUGUGGAGAAAUUGAUGGGCUAGGAUGAGGUGUAAGUCGCAGAUUACAGAGAGGACGACUUUCAUUCUGCGCAUCUACCGUCAUACUGAGCAAGUUAUCGAGCUUUCUCCUCUCUUAAUCAGGGCUGCGAUAUUUAGAUUAUGACGCAGCAAAAAUAUAUUAGAGUACAAAGGGUAAUUUGUCUUUGCCAAAAGAAUGGAGUUGAUUUUCCUAUCUUCUUAAUAGGAAAGAAUUCAAGUACAUAGUCUCUUCUAGUGUCGUCUGGGAUUACAAGCAGUAGAUGCCCGAUGCCACAAGUGUUAGCUUAUAUAAAAAACAAGGUUGGUAUGCCGCAUGUCUUCACUUUCUACCACAGAGUUAUUGCGCGUUUGUAAACAUGGUGAAAGAGAUGUAUCUCUGAAGCAUAAUCAAUUCAUUAGCAAUUUCAAUGUUAGGUUGUUUUUCUUUAGCCAGCAGCGCAAGAGAAAAUAGCAUAACAAUUUCAAUGUUAUGCAUUUGUGUAUUCGACAGAAGGUCCAGUUAUGUGCUCCAUUGGAGAUAUUCUUAUUCUCUUCUCAAAUUGUCGAUUGGAGUAUUUGGUCGUUCAUGUGUAUGGCUUAAAAUAUUCAACAAUAUUGUAUCGAAGUGGUUAUCUUCUCAUGUUAGACAUAAGAAUUCCUUCUAGCAUGUAACUGUUAUUUAAAAUUAUCGAUAGC
Molecule: long non-coding RNA, 1045 nt
Filed under: Oryza sativa Indica Group (long-grained rice)
Lineage: Eukaryota; Viridiplantae; Streptophyta; Magnoliopsida; Poales; Poaceae
Description: lncRNA OsZS97_06G014300
Source: RNAcentral